CGAUCCUCUCAGAUUGUCCUUCGGAUGCCAAGGGAGGCCUCCAAGUUAACUAAAUGAUUUUCAUUACGGCAUUAGCUGAAGACAUUCUCUCUCAAAAACGGUGCAUUAUAGGACAACACGAAGGAGAAUGGAUAUAAUGUGAGGGUUUGUGGAAGGUUAGGCCGAAACGUGAGAUUUAGGAUACUACUGAGGAGAUUACCAUUGUGGGAGCCAGGAGGAGGAAAGCCAAGAGGACAAUUCAGACCCAGAGCUGAGGUGGCUCCAAAAAACCCAGCAACUCAAGGACAAGAAAAUGAGACGACAGAAGCUGUAUUCAAAUGUGAUCCGUGAGCAGAACAAGAAGAUAAGCCCUGGAGUAUGCCAGGUGCAUCCUGCGGCCCAAGGUGGCGCCCCUGCCUCAGCAGACCAAGACCAGACAGCCAGAGUGGGCCCAGGGGCCACACUCGCCUCCUGGAGGGCUUCGACAUAUCCCAGCUGGCCACACUGGAGGCCCUGAGGAAACGGCGAGAGCAGGAGAAACAGACCGUGGCCCACUUCAAGGUGGUGCACACCAUCUGACACUACAUCGGCCCAGUUACUUUAUAACACACAGGAGUCACGCAACAACAGGUUUCCCCUUACAGCUGACACGGCCAUUAAACUUUUGGGGAAAGGCAGUAUAUGGACUAUAUAGACAAUAUGGAGGAAUAAGCAGGGAAAUAUUGCAGCAAUCGUUCAUUCAUGCUUGUGUCAACUGCAAUUUGGCGUGUUACAGAGUAGCCUGUCUGUAUGUGGUUGUUGACAUAAGCAUUUACUGUAUGAAUGCAUUUUUACGACCAAUGAAGUUGUAGCUUGCGCGUUUGUUCAUAUGAUUUGAUGUACUUAAACCAUAGGUAAACAUGGUACUUAUACCAUACCGUAAUUUAUACUAUAGGCAAACAUGGUACUGUAAUCCCAAACCAAGUGUUGUUGUUUUUUGCUCAAAGUUGAUAAGGUAUUGUUUGAAUAAUAUGC
Molecule: long non-coding RNA, 993 nt
Filed under: Salmo salar (Atlantic salmon)
Lineage: Eukaryota; Metazoa; Chordata; Actinopteri; Salmoniformes; Salmonidae
Description: lncRNA (ENSSSAG00000099831.1, ENSSSAG00020061516.1)
Source: RNAcentral